CUAAUGAUCUCUCUCUCUCUCUCUCUCUCUCUCUCUCUCGUUCGCCUACCCCGUCCCCAAUCCGCCUUGUUGCCUCCCCCAGUCUGGCGCGUCUCCGGCAGCAUCCUCCAGUCGGACGCGCCCCCGAUCUGACUCUCUGUCUGCCCCGCCCCUUAAUCUACCUCUUUCUCCCAUCAAAUCCUCCACCACGCUGUCUCCUCCCUACAUGCCUUGCUUCCAUCCGUCUCCCCCGGUCCGCCUAACCACCAUGACGCAUGUCGCGCUGUCGUCGGAUGUGCAGGAGGACGGAACCCCCUACAUCGGCGGCGCUGAGCGGGAGGAGUCUCCAGAUUUUAAGCUUUUUGUGGGGAAUUUGCCGUUUGAUGUUGACAGCGCUGCGCUUGCCAACUUGUUUCAAUAAGCCGGAAGUGUGGAGGAGGUUGAGGUGAGUCUAUUUGUCUGGUACUCAUUGAGAUGCGUGAUUUUGGUAUUCAAUUUCGUGAAUUUGAAUUUGGAAUGCUCUGUUGCUUGUUGGUUACUUGAAAAGGAAUAUAUUAGGGUUCAGUUUUCAGAAUCUCAAAUUCUAAAUUUGUAUUGUUAACUGUGAGUGAUGAAUAUAUUGCUUAAUGUCAGUUCUGUUUAUUUGACUAGCUAAAUUGAAAUUUUGUAUGGUUAGAGUGGUAGUAUUUAUACCUGGAAUUGCUCUUUCAUCCGCCAUUGUUGCCUUUACUGUGAGUUCUCUUUGCUUGUUCUAGAUGACAGAAUUGUAUAAGCUUUGCAAUUAGUUAUGUAUAUUUGUUGGUAAUUGGGUUUUAGUUGAUUAUUUAAUGGUGGAGAAGGAAUUUCAUUAUGGGGAUAUAAUCAAGGGCUAAUUGACUAACAUGCAUCUGAAGGUAUAACUCCAGUUGUUUAGAGUUAAGGUGGUCGAAGAGUUUGGUUGGAGUUAGGUGUCUCUAUUGUUGGUCUACAGCUGGAAGCAAAUUGAGAUAUCAAUUAGUCUACGAAGAAAAGAAACAGAAGUUUCUUGCUUAAGGCUUGAUGACUAACAUGCACACUAUGCUAAUUAAUUGAAGAACAGAGACAAAGAAAUUUUCCUUUGGAUCUAUUUGGGAAAAAUUAUAAAAUGGAGCCAAUAGGUUUGGACUUAAGUUUUGGAUUCACACCUUUGCGUGUUUGUAAUUACGAUUUUUCUGGCUUUCUCUGAAGUGAUUGUAAGGUGUCGAGUUUGCAAUUUAUGUGAUGUAAAAUUAAGAUGUUAGGACUUAAUGUUAAGCGGGCAUGAGAAAAUAGGCAGACAAAUGGAGCACUAGGGGUCAGUGUGGGUGCAAGUGGAAGAAGUUAUUUUCCUCAUCACCUGUACUGGCAUUGGGUUAAUGCUGCCAGGCCCUUUAAUGAAAAGUACUAGUGAAAUAAUAGUGUCAGAGUUGAUCUGCCCAAGCAGUUCUUCAUGGCCAUCUGUUUGUUAUGCAAUUGCUCCAUCUAAGUUUGAUCACGCGAAUGAUUUACUGCCAUAUUGUACUUUUGAAUGUCUCACAUUAAAUGUUGAUCACAAUCUUGUUAUCCUUCUCCACAAUAACUUAUGGGGUUUAGUGUAUGACCAUUUAACUGCAUAGUGUCAUGAGCAAUUGUGAAACUCGAUUCCUGAACAAAAUUUUUGGCAAUGAUUACCAUGUAUUCUUCUUGUUCACAAAUUUAUUUGACUUGGUCAUAAAUUUAUUUGACUCAGUUUCACAUGUUGCACCUAUUAUGCUCAUCCAAGGCCUUUGUUAAACCAUUUGUUUUGGUGUUCUUGAUUUGCUUUGAACAUUUGGAACUAUAUGCUUCCUUCAGAAACUCGCAUCAAAUUGAAAUAUUCUGUAGGUUAUUGUAGAAUGUCGAGUCUUUGAAAUUAGAGCAUGAGAAAAGGGCAGCAGCUCUCAGAAAGUUAGAGAUAAAGAAUGCUGAUUAUAUCAAGACUGAAAAGGCGAAAAAGGAAGUCGAGAAGUUGGAAUCACAGAUGAUGGUUGUUGUGCAAGCUAUUGAGACUGCCUCCAUAGAGAUAAUCAAAUUGAGGGAAUCAGAGCUUUAACUUCAACUUCUUCAGCUUGUCAAGGGGGAAGACUUCAGGAAGCAAUACAAAGAAAAACAUCCUAACAACAAAUCAGUUGUUGCUGGUUGGUAAAGCUGGUGGUGAUAGGUGGAAGUCAAAAAAUCAAGCUUGAGAUGAAUUUCUUGAGGUUUUCUAUACCGAAGCUUCAAUGUCACAGAGCAUGUUGUGUUUACAUUCUUACAUUCUUGAAGGUUUGUGGUGGAUUAAAUGAGUCGUACGUUGAGCUGAAGAGUUUUGUGAAUUCACAAGAAAAGUUGUACCAGAUGGCUAGCUAGUUUCAUAUUUAAUAUGUUUAGUAUUUUUGUAAGGCAUAAUAGUAUUAGAUAGAGCAGUUGAUGAAUUUUGACUAUAUUCAAAUGGUGUAUGAAUUCUUUUUUAUGAUAAUAAUAUAUGAAUUUUGAUUA
Molecule: RNA transcript, 2472 nt
Organism: Salvia miltiorrhiza (redroot sage)
Lineage: Eukaryota; Viridiplantae; Streptophyta; Magnoliopsida; Lamiales; Lamiaceae
Exons: 4
Source: RefSeq, a predicted model, not a curated record